UCUGCUGGUGGUCGGCUGGAUCGUGCUGCGGCCGCUGCCGGUGGCCUGGGUGUACGACGCCAAUCUGACCCCGUUCGGGUCGGUCCGGCGGGC
This 93-nucleotide transfer RNA is filed under the name Kitasatospora indigofera. RNAcentral's name for it is "tRNA-Gly". Lineage: Bacteria; Bacillati; Actinomycetota; Actinomycetes; Kitasatosporales; Streptomycetaceae. The record is from RNAcentral.